Molecule: long non-coding RNA, 591 nt
Filed under: Salmo salar (Atlantic salmon)
Lineage: Eukaryota; Metazoa; Chordata; Actinopteri; Salmoniformes; Salmonidae
Description: lncRNA (ENSSSAG00000112332.1, ENSSSAG00075029855.1)
Source: RNAcentral
CUAAAAAAAAUGUCAUUUCAGCUGUCAUGUUGGAACAAGACAUAGACAAAAGCAGGACGGGCAUAAGACCUAAAUACAGAAAGCAGAGAAGACACUGAGAGAUGCCGCAGACACAAUGGCCAGGACAGCUCCUUGUGUUUGCCAAACUUGUUCCUUAUUCAGCUGUAACAACACAAAUCUCCUGCUCACCCAAUGUUGUCAUGAAAAUACCUCAAGUUCAUCAGAUACUGACCAAGGGUGUAAUGAUUACUUACAUAUCAUCUCUAUGGGCACCAAAACUAAGUGGAAAGAAGGACUAAACUGUUGGAAAUAAACCCCUCACUUGGCAGAAAUUGUUCAUGUGUUCCUGUAAACAACCUGAAGCUACCCACAGGAUGUGUGUGGUCAUCACAGCGCUAUAGCCAAACACCAUUGUGUAAUGUCUUGAUCCCACUCAGUGAGGAGUGACAUGUUCUUAUGCUAUUAACUUGAAACGUCCAAAGAAGAAUGAUGUUGGUAUUGUGUUGAAUACCCCUGUUGGUUCAGGGAUACAGUAUCUGCACCAGAAGAUAAGAACACUUUCCGCUUUUAUAAAACAAAGUUUGGUUAGGG